RNAcentral lists this transfer RNA (70 nucleotides) under Rhipicephalus sanguineus (brown dog tick). RNAcentral describes it as "transfer RNA tyrosine (anticodon GUA)". It matches the Rfam family "tRNA". From Rfam's summary of the family: Transfer RNA (tRNA) molecules are approximately 80 nucleotides in length. Lineage: Eukaryota; Metazoa; Arthropoda; Arachnida; Ixodida; Ixodidae. The record is from Rfam by way of RNAcentral.
GCCGCUAUAGCUCAGUGGUAGUGCACUGGUCGUAAACCAGGGGUCGUGAGUUCAAACCUCACUGGCGGCA